RNAcentral lists this ribosomal RNA (253 nucleotides) under uncultured bacterium. RNAcentral's name for it is "partial 16S ribosomal RNA". It matches the Rfam family "Bacterial small subunit ribosomal RNA", at positions 524 to 776 of the family's 1533-position model. The record is from RNAcentral.
UACGUAGGGUGCAAGCGUUAUCCGGAAUUAUUGGGCGUAAAGAGCUCGUAGGCGGUUUGUCGCGUCUGCUGUGAAAACUGGGGGCUCAACCCCCAGCCUGCAGUGGGUACGGGCAGACUAGAGUGCGGUAGGGGAGAUUGGAAUUCCUGGUGUAGCGGUGGAAUGCGCAGAUAUCAGGAGGAACACCGAUGGCGAAGGCAGAUCUCUGGGCCGUAACUGACGCUGAGGAGCGAAGGCAUGGGGAGCGAACAGG